Long non-coding RNA from Dreissena polymorpha, 597 nucleotides. RefSeq lists it as uncharacterized. The transcript has 3 exons. NCBI's taxonomy places the organism in Eukaryota, Metazoa, Mollusca, Bivalvia, Myida, Dreissenidae. The record is from RefSeq and is a predicted model, not a curated record.
AGGAAAGAGCAAACUAACUAAGCAGAAAUUUCGGUCUGUUUACAAUAGCGUAUUUGACGGAGAUGCAGACGAAUUUGUUGGGCACCUCUUUCGAUCGUUUGAUUCCAACCAAGAUGGAUUUGUCGAUUUUAAAGAGUUCAUAGUGGGUUUGUGAGUGUCCGGAAGUGAGAAGCCGGAAACCAAACUGAAAUGGACCUUCAAUAUGUACGAUCAAGACGGGAACGGCUCCAUCAGCCGAGAGGAGAUGUCCAAUAUGCUCAAGGCGAUAUACAGAACUAUAUCGACGGACCUAAUCAACAUGAAGGCGGAUCUUCACACGAUCGACACACUCGUGAAGGAAUUCUUCAAAUCGGCUGACCGUAAUCAUGACUGACGACUCAAUCAGCCGCGAAGUGUUCAUGAGCGGCGCGCGGGGAAUGCCGGUGAUUCUAGAUUUACUGCAGCGUAACCCGGAAGACGAACCCGCAUUUGAGGAGUCGGUCACACAACUAGACGCUAUUUACGAUUCCAAUGAUACCAUGUGUACACAGGGUCAGGCAGGCCUUAGUGAGCGUGCGAAGGCGUCGGCCGCUUCAUAGCCAUGGAUUUAUGGAAGUC